RNAcentral lists this ribosomal RNA (417 nucleotides) under uncultured bacterium. RNAcentral's name for it is "bacterial SSU rRNA". It matches the Rfam family "Bacterial small subunit ribosomal RNA", at positions 29 to 446 of the family's 1533-position model. The record is from RNAcentral.
AUUGAACGCUGGCGGCGUGCCUAACACAUGCAAGUCGAGCGGUAACAGGUGUAGCAAUACAUGCUGACGAGCGGCGGACGGGUGAGUAACGCUUGGGAAUCUGCCUGUUAGUGGGGGACAACCCGGGGAAACUCGGGCUAAUACCGCAUACGCACUACGGUGGAAAGCCGGGGACCGCAAGGCCUGGCGCUAACAGAUGAGCCCAAGUCGGAUUAGCUAGUUGGUAGGGAACGGCCUACCAAGGCGACGAUCCGUAACUGGUCUGAGAGGACGACCAGUCACACCGGAACUGAGACACGGUCCGGACUCCUACGGGAGGCAGCAGUGGGGAAUAUUGGACAAUGGGCGAAAGCCUGAUCCAGCGACGCCGCGUGGGUGAAGAAGGCCUGCGGGUUGUAAAGCCCUUCGGUGGGGAAG